RNAcentral lists this unclassified non-coding RNA (378 nucleotides) under Hevea brasiliensis (rubber tree). Lineage: Eukaryota; Viridiplantae; Streptophyta; Magnoliopsida; Malpighiales; Euphorbiaceae. The record is from RNAcentral.
AGGUGACCCACUAUCACUCUUUCUUUUUAUCAUAACUGUUGAACCUUUUAGCCUAUUAAUUAAGGAAGCAUGCAAAACUGGUAAUUUGGUGGGUGUUUAUGUGGGAUUUAGGAAUGUGGUUAUUACACAUCAACAGUUUUUGGAUGAUACACUUUUCUUCACUCCAACAAAAGUUGAUUAUAUGGCUGCAAUUUUGAAAAUUUUGAGUUAUUUUUCAGCUGAUGUCGAGGUUAAAGUUUAAUUUCCAUACGAGCUAUCUGUUUGGCAUUAAUGUGGAUAAUGAGAUAUCUCAAAGAGCAGCAAGAUUGUGCCAUUGUAGAAUUUGUUAUCUUCCAAUUCGUUAUUUAUGCUUUCCCUUAGAGGCAAAUACUAGAAAAU